AAGGAUAUUUAACAGACAAUAAAGGAAUACUAUGAACAACUUCUGCUCACAAAUUUGAUAACUUGGAUGAAAUGGACUAAUUCCUUGAAAGACUCAUGUUGCCAAAAGUUACACCAGAAGAAACAGAGAAUCUGGUUAUGUCUCUGUCUCUGUGUGUGUGUCUCUCUCUCUCUCUCCCUCUUCCUCUCUCUCUCUCUCUGUAUAUAUAUAUGUAUAUAUAUAAUUGAAUCAAUAAUUAAUAACCCUCCAAAGCAGAAAUUCUCAGGCCCAGGUGGGUUCACUGGUGAAUUCUACCAAACAUUUAAGGAAGGAAGAAACUAUAGCAGUUUUCUAUAAUAUCUUUAAGAGAUAGAAGCAAAAGAUACAACUCUUCACUCAUUCUCUGAGACCAGAAUUACCCUGGUAACAAAACCAGACAAAGGCAUUAUGAGAAAACUACAGCUGUGAUACUGGUCUCAUGAGCACUGAUGUAAAAAUUCUCAACAAAAAUUAGCAAAUUGAAUCUAGCAAUGUAUAAAAAUAUUAUAUACCACAAUCAAGUGAUAUUUAUCCCAGGUAUACAGGGCUGUUUCAACAUUUAAAAAUCAGUUAAUGUAAUCCAUCACUUC
Molecule: non-coding RNA, 608 nt
Organism: Vicugna pacos (alpaca)
Lineage: Eukaryota; Metazoa; Chordata; Mammalia; Artiodactyla; Camelidae
Source: RefSeq, a predicted model, not a curated record